Molecule: non-coding RNA, 75 nt
Organism: Myotis brandtii (Brandt's bat)
Lineage: Eukaryota; Metazoa; Chordata; Mammalia; Chiroptera; Vespertilionidae
Source: Rfam
GGCGGUUCUUGGGUGACGCACCCCGGAAUCGGGCUCCCACAUCUCUGGUUCCGGCUAUGUCACACAAGAACCACA